Molecule: ribosomal RNA, 406 nt
Filed under: uncultured bacterium
Lineage: Bacteria
Description: bacterial SSU rRNA
Rfam family: Bacterial small subunit ribosomal RNA
Source: RNAcentral
AACGAACGUUGGCGGCGUGGAUUAGGCAUGCAAGUCGAGGGAAGCACGUAGCGUAGCAAUACGUCGCGUGACUGACCGGCGUAAGGGGCAGUAAUACGUGGGUAACGUACCCCUGGGUUCCGGAUAGUCAGUCGAAAGGCUGAGUAAUACGGAGCGAAGUCGCGAGAGGACAUCCUCAUGCGACCAAAGAUUUAUCGCCCAGGGAGCGGCUCACGUCGUAUUAGCUAGUUGGAGGGUGACGGCCUACCAAGGCUUAGAUGCGUAGCGGGUGUGAGAGCACGACCCGCGCCACUGGCACUGAGACACUGGCCAGACACCUACGGGUGGCUGCAGUCGAGGAUCUUCGGCAAUGUGCGCAAGCAUGACCGAGCGACGCCGCGUGUGGGAUGAAGGCCUUCGGUUGUAA